RNAcentral lists this ribosomal RNA (519 nucleotides) under uncultured bacterium. Its description in RNAcentral is "bacterial SSU rRNA". It matches the Rfam family "Bacterial small subunit ribosomal RNA", at positions 8 to 524 of the family's 1533-position model. The record is from RNAcentral.
AGAGUUUGAUCCUGGCUCAGAUUGAACGCUGGCGGCAUGCCUUACACAUGCAAGUCGAACGGUAACAGGUCUUCGGACGCUGACGAGUGGCGAACGGGUGAGUAAUACAUCGGAACGUGCCCAGUCGUGGGGGAUAACUACUCGAAAGAGUAGCUAAUACCGCAUACGAUCUGAGGAUGAAAGCGGGGGACCUUCGGGCCUCGCGCGAUUGGAGCGGCCGAUGGCAGAUUAGGUAGUUGGUGGGAUAAAAGCUUACCAAGCCGACGAUCUGUAGCUGGUCUGAGAGGACGACCAGCCACACUGGGACUGAGACACGGCCCAGACUCCUACGGGAGGCAGCAGUGGGGAAUUUUGGACAAUGGGCGAAAGCCUGAUCCAGCAAUGCCGCGUGCAGGAUGAAGGCCUUCGGGUUGUAAACUGCUUUUGUACGGAACGAAAAAGCUUCUCCUAAUACGAGAGGCCCAUGACGGUACCGUAAGAAUAAGCACCGGCUAACUACGUGCCAGCAGCCGCGGUAAU